RNAcentral lists this ribosomal RNA (449 nucleotides) under uncultured bacterium. RNAcentral's name for it is "partial 16S ribosomal RNA". It matches the Rfam family "Bacterial small subunit ribosomal RNA", at positions 338 to 795 of the family's 1533-position model. The record is from RNAcentral.
CCUACGGGAGGCAGCAGUGGGGAAUAUUGGACAAUGGGGGGAACCCUGAUCCAGCGACGCCGCGUGAGUGAAGAAGUAUUUCGGUAUGUAAAGCUCUAUCAGCAGGGAAGAAAAUGACGGUACCUGACUAAGAAGCCCCGGCUAACUACGUGCCAGCAGCCGCGGUAAUACGUAGGGGGCAAGCGUUAUCCGGAUUUACUGGGUGUAAAGGGAGCGUAGACGGUGCAGCAAGUCUGAUGUGAAAGGUCGGGGCCCAACCCCGGGAGUGGAUUGGAAACUGGUGAAACUGGCAGUCUUGAGUGGGCGAGAGGUAUGCGGAAUGCGUGGUGGAGCGGUGAAAUGCAUAGAUAUCACGAAGAACUCCGAUUGCGAAGGCAGCAUACCGGCGCCCGACUGACGCUGAGGCACGAAAGCGUGGGUAUCGAACAGGAUUAGAUACCCGAGUAGUC